GGGUUGUGAGGUUAAGCGACUAAGCGUACACGGUGGAUGCCCUGGCAGUCAGAGGCGAUGAAGGACGUGCUAAUCUGCGAAAAGCGCCGGCGAGGUGAUAUGAACCUUUGACCCGGCGAUGUCCGAAUGGGGAAACCCAGUGCAAUCCGUUGCACUAUCGUUUGAUGAAUACAUAGUCAAACGAGGCGAACCGGGGGAACUGAAACAUCUAAGUACCCCGAGGAAAAGAAAUCAACCGAGAUUCCCCCAGUAGCGGCGAGCGAACGGGGAGCAGCCCAGAGCCUGAAUCAGCUUGUGUGUUAGUGGAACGGUCUGGAAAGUCCGGCGAUACAGGGUGACAGCCCCGUACACGAAAGCACACAGGUUGUGAGCUCGAUGAGUAGGGCGGGACACGUGGUAUCCUGUCUGAAUAUGGGGGGACCAUCCUCCAAGGCUAAAUACUCCUGACUGACCGAUAGUGAACCAGUACCGUGAGGGAAAGGCGAAAAGAACCCCGGCGAGGGGAGUGAAAAAGAACCUGAAACCGUGUACGUACAAGCAGUGGGAGCCUCUUUAAUGGGGUGACUGCGUACCUUUUGUAUAAUGGGUCAGCGACUUAUAUUCUGUAGCAAGGUUAACCGAAUAGGGGAGCCGAAGGGAAACCGAGUCUUAACUGGGCGUUAAGUUGCAGGGUAUAGACCCGAAACCCGGUGAUCUAGCCAUGGGCAGGUUGAAGGUUGGGUAACACUAACUGGAGGACCGAACCGACUAAUGUUGAAAAAUUAGCGGAUGACUUGUGGCUGGGGGUGAAAGGCCAAUCAAACCGGGAGAUAGCUGGUUCUCCCCGAAAGCUAUUUAGGUAGCGCCUCGUGAAUUCAUCUCCGGGGGUAGAGCACUGUUUCGGCUAGGGGGCCAUCCCGGCUUACCAACCCGAUGCAAACUACGAAUACCGGAGAAUGUUAUCACGGGAGACACACGGCGGGUGCUAACGUCCGUCGUGAAGAGGGAAACAACCCAGACCGCCAGCUAAGGUCCCAAAGUCAUGGUUAAGUGGGAAACGAUGUGGGAAGGCACAGACAGCCAGGAUGUUGGCUUAGAAGCAGCCAUCAUUUAAAGAAAGCGUAAUAGCUCACUGGUCGAGUCGGCCUGCGCGGAAGAUGUAACGGGGCUAAACCAUGCACCGAAGCUGCGGCAGCGACACUUAAGUGUUGUUGGGUAGGGGAGCGUUCUGUAAGCCUGCGAAGGUGUGCUGUGAAGCAUGCUGGAGGUAUCAGAAGUGCGAAUGCUGACAUAAGUAACGAUAAAGCGGGUGAAAAGCCCGCUCGCCGGAAGACCAAGGGUUCCUGUCCAACGUUAAUCGGGGCAGGGUGAGUCGACCCCUAAGGCGAGGCCGAAAGGCGUAGUCGAUGGGAAACAGGUUAAUAUUCCUGUACUUGGUGUUACUGCGAAGGGGGGACGGAGAAGGCUAUGUUAGCCGGGCGACGGUUGUCCCGGUUUAAGCAUGUAGGCUGGUUAUCCAGGCAAAUCCGGAUAAUCAAGGCUGAGAUGUGAUGACGAGUCACUACGGUGAUGAAGUAACAAAUGCCCUGCUUCCAGGAAAAGCCUCUAAGCAUCAGGUAACAUCAAAUCGUACCCCAAACCGACACAGGUGGUCAGGUAGAGAAUACCAAGGCGCUUGAGAGAACUCGGGUGAAGGAACUAGGCAAAAUGGUGCCGUAACUUCGGGAGAAGGCACGCUGAUAUGUAGGUGAAGCCCCUGCGGGCGGAGCUGAAAUCAGUCGAAGAUACCAGCUGGCUGCAACUGUUUAUUAAAAACACAGCACUGUGCAAACACGAAAGUGGACGUAUACGGUGUGACGCCUGCCCGGUGCCGGAAGGUUAAUUGAUGGGGUUAUCCGUAAGGAGAAGCUCUUGAUCGAAGCCCCGGUAAACGGCGGCCGUAACUAUAACGGUCCUAAGGUAGCGAAAUUCCUUGUCGGGUAAGUUCCGACCUGCACGAAUGGCGUAAUGAUGGCCAGGCUGUCUCCACCCGAGACUCAGUGAAAUUGAACUCGCUGUGAAGAUGCAGUGUACCCGCGGCAAGACGGAAAGACCCCGUGAACCUUUACUAUAGCUUGACACUGAACAUUGAGCCUUGAUGUGUAGGAUAGGUGGGAGGCUUUGAAGCGUGGACGCCAGUCUGCGUGGAGCCAACCUUGAAAUACCACCCUUUAAUGUUUGAUGUUCUAACGUGGACCCGUGAUCCGGGUUGCGGACAGUGUCUGGUGGGUAGUUUGACUGGGGCGGUCUCCUCCCAAAGAGUAACGGAGGAGCACGAAGGUUGGCUAAUCCUGGUCGGACAUCAGGAGGUUAGUGCAAUGGCAUAAGCCAGCUUGACUGCGAGCGUGACGGCGCGAGCAGGUGCGAAAGCAGGUCAUAGUGAUCCGGUGGUUCUGAAUGGAAGGGCCAUCGCUCAACGGAUAAAAGGUACUCCGGGGAUAACAGGCUGAUACCGCCCAAGAGUUCAUAUCGACGGCGGUGUUUGGCACCUCGAUGUCGGCUCAUCACAUCCUGGGGCUGAAGUAGGUCCCAAGGGUAUGGCUGUUCGCCAUUUAAAGUGGUACGCGAGCUGGGUUUAGAACGUCGUGAGACAGUUCGGUCCCUAUCUGCCGUGGGCGCUGGAGAAUUGAGGGGGGCUGCUCCUAGUACGAGAGGACCGGAGUGGACGCAUCACUGGUGUUCGGGUUGUCAUGCCAAUGGCACUGCCCGGUAGCUACAUGCGGAAGAGAUAAGUGCUGAAAGCAUCUAAGCACGAAACUUGCCCCGAGAUGAGUUCUCCCCUGGACUUUAAGUCCACUAAAGGAACGUUGAAGACGACGACGUUGAUAGGCCGGGUGUGUAAGCGCAGCGAUGCGUUGAGCUAACCGGUACUAAUGAACCGUGAGGCUUAACCUUACAACGCCGAAG
Molecule: ribosomal RNA, 2925 nt
Filed under: Enterobacteriaceae bacterium A-F18
Lineage: Bacteria; Pseudomonadati; Pseudomonadota; Gammaproteobacteria; Enterobacterales; Enterobacteriaceae
Description: 23S ribosomal RNA
Rfam family: Bacterial large subunit ribosomal RNA
Source: RNAcentral